UACAGAGGGUGCGAGCGUUAAUCGGAAUUACUGGGCGUAAAGCGUGCGUAGACGGUAGCGUAAGUCGGAUGUGAAAGCCCCGGGCUCAACCUGGGAAUUGCAUUCGAGACUGCGCUGCUAGGGUGCGGAAGAGGGAAGCGGAAUUUCCGGUGUAGCGGUGAAAUGCGUAGAUAUCGGAAGGAACAUCAGUGGCGAAAGCGGCUUCCUGGUCCAGCACCGGCGUUCAGGCACGAAAGCGUGGGGAGCAAACAGG
This 253-nucleotide ribosomal RNA is filed under the name uncultured bacterium. RNAcentral's name for it is "partial 16S ribosomal RNA". It matches the Rfam family "Bacterial small subunit ribosomal RNA", at positions 524 to 776 of the family's 1533-position model. The record is from RNAcentral.